Molecule: long non-coding RNA, 947 nt
Filed under: Physcomitrium patens
Lineage: Eukaryota; Viridiplantae; Streptophyta; Bryopsida; Funariales; Funariaceae
Description: long non-coding RNA (PPAT_LNC010009)
Source: RNAcentral
CAAAUUCAAUCAAAAUUUCAAAAGAAUUAUGUAAGAAAUACAAAAUAUUCCUAGAGAUCCUUUAAAGAAUUAUAAAAAAAUAAUAUAGAAAUAUUAAUAAAAUAAUAAAAUAGAAAUCUUAAUUAAAUCUUAAUCAAAUUUUAAUCAAAUUUUAGUCAAAUCUUAGUCAAUUCCUAAUCAAAUCCUAAAUAAAUCCUUAUCAAAUCCUAAAAAAUCCUAAUCAAAUCUUAAAAAAAUCCUAAUCAAAUCCUAAUCAAAUCUUAAACAAAUCCUAACAAAUCCUACUCAAAUUCUAAUCAAAUCAUAACAAAUCCUAAUCAAAUCUUAGACAAACCUUAACCAAAUUCUAGUCAAAUCCUAAACAAAUCCUAAACAAAUUCCAAUCAAAUUCAAAUCAAACCCUAAACAAAUCCUAACCAAAUCCUAAAAAAAUCUUAAAUAAAUUCUAAACAAAUUCCAAUCAAAUUCAAAUCAAACCUUAAACAAAUCCUAACCAAAUCCUAAACAAAUCUUAAAUAAAUUCUAAACAAAUCCUAACCAAAUCUUUAAAAAAUCCUAAAAAAAUCCUAAAAAAAUCCUAUAAAAAUCCUAAAUAGAUUCUAAAUAAAUCCUAAAUAAACCCAAAAUAAAUCCUAUUUAAAUUUUAAACAAAUCUUAAAUAAAUACUAAAUAAAUCUUAAAUAAAUUCUAAUCAAAUCCUUAAAAAAUCCUAACCAAAUUCUAACCAAAUUCUAAAAAAAUCCUAAACAAAUUCUAAAAAAAUCCUAAAAAAAUCCUAAAAAAAUCCUAAUCAAAUUCUAAACAAACCCUAAUCAAAUCCUAAACAAAUCCUAAUCAAAUCCUAAAUAAAUCCAAGUAAUUCCUAUAGUAGAUUUAAACCUCAAUAACUAAUGAAUGAACCAUUGAUUUUAAUUCAAAAUUUUCAUACUUCUUAAAAAUUAAGUUGA